UCAUUGGGGAGCUAGUGAACUGGCUGAGAGGAAGUAAAAACUUCGACCCGUUAACCUGAUUUGGAUAAUGCCAACGUAGGGAAGAGUCAAA
RNAcentral lists this non-coding RNA (91 nucleotides) under uncultured Eubacterium sp. RNAcentral describes it as "TPP riboswitch (THI element)". The stretch from base 4 to 83 matches the Rfam family "TPP riboswitch aptamer (THI element)", at positions 10 to 89 of the family's 105-position model. Rfam says of the family: Vitamin B(1) in its active form thiamin pyrophosphate (TPP) is an essential coenzyme that is synthesised by coupling of pyrimidine and thiazole moieties in bacteria. The record is from RNAcentral. Lineage: Bacteria; Bacillati; Bacillota; Clostridia; Eubacteriales; Eubacteriaceae.